AUUGAACGCUGGCGGCAGGCCUAACACAUGCAAGUCGAGCGGAUGAAGGGAGCUUGCUCCUGGCUUCAGCGGCGGACGGGUGAGUAAUGCCUAGGAAUCUGCCUGGUCGUGGGGGGUAACGUCCGGAAACGGGCGCUAAUACCGCAUACGUCCUGAGGGAGAAAGUGGGGGAUCUUCGGACCUCACGCUAUCAGAUGAGCCUAGGUCGGAUUAGCUAGUUGGUGGGGUAAAGGCCUACCAAGGCGACGAUCCGUAACUGGUCUGAGAGGAUGAUCAGUCACACUGGAACUGAGACACGGUCCAGACUCCUACGGGAGGCAGCAGUGGGGAAUAUUGGACAAUGGGCGAAAGCCUGAUCGAGCCAUGCCGCGUGUGUGAAGAAGGUCUUCGGAUUGUAAAGCACUUUAAGUUGGGAGGAAGGGCAGUAAGUGAAUACCUGGCUGUUUUGACGUUACCAACAGAAAAAGCACCGGCUAACUUCGUG
Molecule: ribosomal RNA, 484 nt
Filed under: uncultured bacterium
Lineage: Bacteria
Description: partial 16S ribosomal RNA
Rfam family: Bacterial small subunit ribosomal RNA
Source: RNAcentral